RNAcentral lists this ribosomal RNA (253 nucleotides) under uncultured bacterium. RNAcentral's name for it is "partial 16S ribosomal RNA". It matches the Rfam family "Bacterial small subunit ribosomal RNA", at positions 524 to 776 of the family's 1533-position model. The record is from RNAcentral.
UACGUAGGUGGCGAGCGUUGUCCGGAAUUACUGGGUGUAAAGGGCGCGUAGGCGGGAAUGCAAGUCAGAUGUGAAAUACCAAGGCUUAACCUUGGAACUGCAUCUGAAACUGUGUUUCUUGAGUGUCGGAGAGGAAAGCGGAAUUCCCCGUGUAGCGGUGAAAUGCGUAGAUAUGGGGAGGAACACCGGUGGCGAAGGCGGCUUUCUGGACGAUAACUGACGCUGAGGCGCGAAAGCGUGGGUAGCAAACAGG